This 253-nucleotide ribosomal RNA is filed under the name uncultured prokaryote. Its description in RNAcentral is "partial 16S ribosomal RNA". It matches the Rfam family "Bacterial small subunit ribosomal RNA", at positions 525 to 777 of the family's 1533-position model. The record is from RNAcentral.
ACGGAGGGAGCGAACGUUGUUCGGAUUCACUGGGCGUAAAGGGCGUGUAGGCGGCUUGGUAAGUCAGGGGUGAAAUCCCGCGGCUCAACCGCGGAGUUGCCUUUGAAACUGCCGAGCUUGAGGCCGUGAGAGGAGACUGGAAUUCCCAGUGUAGCGGUGAAAUGUAUAGAUAUUGGGAGGAACACCAGUGGCGAAGGCGGCUCACUGGACCGGAACUGACGCUGAGGCGCGAAAGCGUGGGGAGCAAACAGGA